RNAcentral lists this long non-coding RNA (884 nucleotides) under Polistes fuscatus (common paper wasp). RNAcentral's name for it is "uncharacterized LOC122524759". Lineage: Eukaryota; Metazoa; Arthropoda; Insecta; Hymenoptera; Vespidae. The record is from RNAcentral.
CUUUGCCGUACGCACGGUCCGACGACGGACGGUCCGAUCCGGUCCGAUCCAAUCGGCUAGUAGCCAAACAGAUUUAAUCGAAAGUGCGUCAUCCAAUAAGGAAGAAGAAAAAUCGGCGAAAUAAGCGAAUGAGAUUAUUCGUUCUUCUCUGUCUCCGCGAGCGCACCUCCUCCCUCUUCGUAAACCGAAUCAUCGAAGCGUCCUCGUUCGUGUAAGGUGUACAGUGAAUUUAAUUUGAUUUGUUUUUUAUCCUCUUCUCACUUUGUCUCACUUUGGAAUUCUAUCUGGAAGAUUAAUAUCAUAUUUCGAUCGAGUUAAUAAAGCAAUUUGGAUUAUAUUUUCUCGUUGAUGUUGCUGAGAUUAACGGAAAAAGAAAACUGUUCAAACGGUAAAGGAAGAAAACGUGGGGAUUUUGGUGAACGGAGUGGGGAGAGGGUACAACGGAACGAAUAGCGCGCGCUUUUCGUUCUCGUCCUGGUCCUCCUCAUCUUCGUCGUUGUCCUCGUCGUUUCGUGAAGUGGUUGGUACGUUCCACUGGAAAGAAAAAGAAAAAAGAAGAAGAAGAAGAAGAAGAAGAAAGAUACGACGAAAGAGGAUCUCGUUCAUGCAUUUCGUUUUAAACUCGAUGCUGAGGAAGCAAGUGUAAAAGAAGAGAAAGAUUACCAAAAAAAAAAAAACCAAGAAUUCAAGAAGAAGAAAAAGAAGAAGAAGAAGAAGAAGAGUCAAGGUGAUUUUUUCGGAAGUGAAACAACCACCGGCAAACCUUGGACUUGUUCGGUUAAAAUCAAACGCGCGUGUGUGUGUGUGUUCGUGUAUAUUUUUUUGUGCAAUCAUGUUCGUUCGUUGAUGUUUAUACGUGUGAGGUUAGUGCAUCUCGUGCAGAA